Molecule: ribosomal RNA, 495 nt
Filed under: uncultured bacterium
Lineage: Bacteria
Description: partial 16S ribosomal RNA
Rfam family: Bacterial small subunit ribosomal RNA
Source: RNAcentral
GACGAACGCUGGCGGCGUGCCUAAUACAUGCAAGUAGAACGCUGAAGGAGGAGCUUGCUUCUCUGGAUGAGUUGCGAACGGGUGAGUAACGCGUAGGUAACCUGCCUGGUAGCGGGGGAUAACUAUUGGAAACGAUAGCUAAUACCGCAUAAUAGUAGAUGUUGCAUGGCAUUUGCUUAAAAGGUGCAAUUGCAUCACUACCAGAUGGACCUGCGUUGUAUUAGCUAGUUGGUGAGGUAACGGCUCACCAAGGCAACGAUACAUAGCCGACCUGAGAGGGUGAUCGGCCACACUGGGACUGAGACACGGCCCAGACUCCUACGGGAGGCAGCAGUAGGGAAUCUUCGGCAAUGGACGGAAGUCUGACCGAGCAACGCCGCGUGAGUGAAGAAGGUUUUCGGAUCGUAAAGCUCUGUUGUAAGAGAAGAACGAGUGUGAGAGUGGAAAGUUCACACUGUGACGGUAUCUUACCAGAAAGGGACGGCUAACUACGUG